UCCCAAUCAUUGAAUUCGUCAAUCUAACAUUAUUAUGCCUUCAUCCAAGCUUCGACUCGAUCAGCACCCCAAAAACUGCAAGGAAGUAGAUCCUGCGACAAAACGAUCACGAGCAUCACAACAGCGAGAAAGGUUCAAUUCGAUCAGCACGAUCAGUAUCCUCAUCUCCAGGAAGGAGAUUAAGAUUGCAGCCAGGCACACAUCUCGUUAGCACCAGACGACAGCCAGUGGAUCUGAAAAUCAUACACAUCGAAAGAAGUGCAUCUCGACUAAAAGACGUGC
Uranotaenia lowii is the source of this 282-nucleotide long non-coding RNA. RefSeq lists it as uncharacterized. The record is from RefSeq and is a predicted model, not a curated record. Lineage: Eukaryota; Metazoa; Arthropoda; Insecta; Diptera; Culicidae. The transcript is spliced from 3 exons.